Non-coding RNA from Acanthosepion pharaonis, 107 nucleotides. NCBI's taxonomy places the organism in Eukaryota, Metazoa, Mollusca, Cephalopoda, Sepiida, Sepiidae. The record is from the annotation of a GenBank genome assembly.
ACAGCCAUAUUGCUUUGAAACUCCAGUUCCUGUCUGAUCUCCAAAGUUAAGCAACGUCAAGUCUGGUCAGUAUUUAGAUGGGUGACCUCUUGCAAAUACCAGGUACU